RNAcentral lists this long non-coding RNA (336 nucleotides) under Elaeis guineensis (African oil palm). RNAcentral's name for it is "long non-coding RNA (EGUI_LNC033705)". Lineage: Eukaryota; Viridiplantae; Streptophyta; Magnoliopsida; Arecales; Arecaceae. The record is from RNAcentral.
AUGCACGUAGCCUACCCAAUUGCUACUUCCACAUGUACGUACGUAGCUUUUACUUCUAUGUCAUACUACUGUGAAGAUAUACUGCUGGGCACUAUGAAACUUUCAUUUCAUGGUUAUCAGGGUUCUUGAUCUACAUCAGGAGAGUCUGUUAGGACUUACAAAAUAUCAUACAUCUAUGGCUCCGACCCACUCACACACACACUACUUCUAUGCGUAUGUACGUUGGUCUGGGUCAAUCUGGUAUUAGAGCCAUCUUUUGUGUCGAGGAGGGGAUCUAUUGAUUUUUAGCCAUAUAGAGCAGACCGGACAGGUAGUGCGGUAAAUCUCGUGUUGGCC